Molecule: ribosomal RNA, 449 nt
Filed under: uncultured bacterium
Lineage: Bacteria
Description: partial 16S ribosomal RNA
Rfam family: Bacterial small subunit ribosomal RNA
Source: RNAcentral
GCCAGACUCCUACGGGAGGCAGCAGUGGGGGAUAUUGCACAAUGGGGGGAACCCUGAUGCAGCGACGCCGCGUGGGUGAAGGAGCGUUUCGGCGCGUAAAGCCCUAUCGGCAGGGAAGAAGGAGGACGGUACCUGACUAAGAAGCCCCGGCUAACUACGUGCCAGCAGCCGCGGUAAUACGUAGGGGGCAAGCGUUAUCCGGAUUUACUGGGUGUAAAGGGGGCGCAGACGGCAGCGCAAGCCAGGAGUGAAAGCCCGGGGCCCAACCCCGGGACUGCUCUUGGAACUGCGCGGCUGGAGUGCAGGAGGGGCAGGCGGAAUUCCUGGUGUAGCGGUGAAAUGCGUAGAUAUCAGGAGGAACACCGGUGGCGAAGGCGGCCUGCUGGACUGCGACUGACGUUGAGGCCCGAAAGCGUGGGGAGCAAACAGGAUUAGAUACCCCGGUACCC